GUCGUCGCGCGUGAUGCGCCUGAACACAUCCUAAAUUCGCGGCUCUUUCGCCGCUCUUAACUCCAUCCAAACUGCUCCACGUGAAAUAAAUCCUGGUGCUGGUCGACGUGUGCUUGACUUUUCAACUGUCACGAAUUAACAGGCACAGCGGGGACCAGGAUGUGGACUCAGACAUUUCCUGGACCCUCGGCAGCCUGUCAGUGGAGGUUUAAGUUUGGACCCCACUGUAAGUAGGAAGUGAGAUGUAUCAUCAACAAAAGUGUG
Long non-coding RNA from Onychostoma macrolepis, 264 nucleotides. RefSeq lists it as uncharacterized. The transcript has 3 exons. The record is from RefSeq and is a predicted model, not a curated record. Lineage: Eukaryota; Metazoa; Chordata; Actinopteri; Cypriniformes; Cyprinidae.